Non-coding RNA from Microcebus murinus (gray mouse lemur), 1154 nucleotides. The record is from RefSeq and is a predicted model, not a curated record. NCBI's taxonomy places the organism in Eukaryota, Metazoa, Chordata, Mammalia, Primates, Cheirogaleidae.
AACUAGCAGAUAAAUAACUGGGUGAACUGCUAAGAACUUUAAGGGGUUAGGUUCCUGGCCCAACCAGAAUGUCUUUCUUCCCUUUCUUUCCCUUUUGCCUUGAUUUUCCAUCCUUUGAUCUCCUUUCUUUUUCUCUUUUGUUGCUCCCUUUUUUGUUGUUUUUUCUUUGCCUUGGAUGCUCCUAGAACCCACCUUCCUGCAACCCCUUCCUUCUGCCUGGGUUGCCCAUGUGGCUGUUCUCCUUGGUAUUUCAUUGCUGCAAGCAUUUGCUUUACUCUCCCUCCCACAUCACAAACUCCUGGAGGACGGCAUCUCUGUCUUCUCCCCACUCCUAGCACAGUGAGCAGUGUGUACCUGAUUAAUUAGCCUAAGUCAGAGGUCCUCAAAUUUUAACAUGCAUGAGAAUCUCCUGGAUUGCUGGGCUCCACCCCCAGAACUUCGGAUUCGUAACCACAGGUUGGCAAACAGCAUGAUCCUUCCUUAUACGGGACCAUGAUAUCUCCAGACACAUCCCUGCGCCUCGCAAAAAUCGCUGAGUGAGAGGAGAAUGCCAAACGCUAGGACCAUGGUUUGAGCCGGGAUUCACGGAAGCCUGGAGUUCUGUGCAAGGGCACAAGAGCUGCUGUGUCUGUGGGGCAGAGGAGCCACUAGAAAGAUGUCUGGAAUCACCCACAGAAGUUCCUUGUUAUCUAUUUGAGGGACGUGUGGAGCCCUUCCCUCAUCUUGCCAUCCCUUGAGUUCUGAAGUCUGAGCCUCUCUACACCUGCAUGUUCCUUGGGACAUCAUCUCCAUGGGAAGAAACAGAAUCUGCUCCCCAUUUGUGAAAGCACAGAUGUCAUCUGAAUGGUCAUGUGGCUCUAUGCGGCUGCUGGAUGGGCUGGUACGGAGGGUCUGAGAUGGCUUCAUCACACAUCUGGUGCCUUGGCAGGGAUGGCCGGAAGGCUGGGCUCUGCUGGACAGUCAACUGGCGAACCACACAUGGCCUCUCCAACAUGGCAGCCUCAGGGAGUCAGGUUUCUUAUAUGGGGCAUGUGGCUCCUGGAAAGAAUGUUCCAGAAAAUACAGAAGAAAAAUAAGGACCCACAGGGAGGAAGCGAAUGUCGGGCUGCUGUGUAACACCAAGUGAGGGGCGAGCUCGAUGCUUCUCGCUCUGC